This 440-nucleotide ribosomal RNA is filed under the name uncultured bacterium. RNAcentral describes it as "partial 16S ribosomal RNA". It matches the Rfam family "Bacterial small subunit ribosomal RNA", at positions 338 to 795 of the family's 1533-position model. The record is from RNAcentral.
CCUACGGGGGGCAGCAGUGGGGAAUAUUGCACAAUGGGGGAAACCCUGAUGCAGCGACGCCGCGUGAGUGAAGAAGUAUUUCGGUAUGUAAAGCUCUAUCAGCAGGGAAGAAAAUGACGGUACCUGAUUAAGAAGCCCCGGCUCACUACGUGCCAGCAGCCGCGGUAAUACGUAGGGGGCAAGCGUUAUCCGGAUUUACUGGGUGUAAAGGGAGCGUAGACGGCAGCACAAGUCUGGAGUGAAAUGCCGGGGCUUAACCCCGGAACUGCUUUGGAAACUGUGCAGCUGGAGUGCAGGAGAGGUAAGUGGAAUUCCCAGUGUAGCGGUGAAAUGAGUAGAUAUUAGGAGGAACACCAGUGGCGAAGGCGGCUUACUGGACUGUAACUGACGUUGAGGCUCGAAAGCGUGGGGAGCAAACAGGAUUAGAUACCCUUGUAGUC